AUAUCAUUUAGUGCCAAAAAUCUCCUCAAAAUAAUAAACUAAACAGAAUGAAUGAAUGAAAAUAUAGUAAAAUUAUUUAAUUGAUUAAAAGUUACACUUAAGGUGUUUGGUCACAUAUAACUGCAAAGGGCUAUGAGAACAUGUCAAUGCUGUAUUUUUAUCACUCCCAAGAAUAAAAUGUUAUUGUAAAGCGAAGUCAGCGUAGUUAUCAAUGCACAUAAGUACUAGUAAUUGCUGCAAAUAUAGUGAAACUGCUGUCUGUCCCGAUUAGACCCAUUCAAACAUAUAGACAGCACAGAGUUGUUUGGAACGAUUGAGAGCUCCAUGAACCACUUGCCCGCAUGACAGAAAGAUCAAAGCAUGUUGCAACUUUCUCAAUGGCUCUGCAUGUAACGUUCAUACAUUUUGGUGCUUUGGAAUGCAGCAUUUUGAAAGCAAACUUAUUUUGAAGGUUUUUUUUUUUUUUGUGAAUGAAUGAAUGAGGCAUUUACAUUGUGCUUUACUGUCCACCCAAAGUGUUUUACAAUCAUAUGAGGGGGUCUCUUCUCAACCACCACCAGCAUCCACCUGGAUGAUGCGACGGCAGCCACAGUACAUCGGUGCCAGUGCACUCACCACACACCAGCUACAGGUGGAGAGGAGAGAGAGAUAGAGCCAAAUCUGUGGAUGGGAUUAUUAGGAGACCAUGACUGACAAGGGCCAGUGGAGAGAAUUUGGCCCGGACACCGGGGUUACACCCCUACUCUUUACGAAAAGUGUCAUGGGAUUUUUAAUGACCACAGAGAGUCAGGACCUUGGUUUAACAUCUCAUCCUGAAGAACGGUGCUUUUUACAGUAUAAUGUCCCCGUCACUAUACUGGGGUGUUAGGACCCACACAGACCACAGGGUGAGCACCCCCUGCUGGCCUCACUAACACCUCUUCCAACAGCAACCUAUUUUGCCCAGGUCUCCCAUCCAGGUACUGACCAGGCUCAACCCUGCUUAGCUUCAGUGGACAACCAGUCUUAGGCUACAGGGUGAUAUGGCUGGCUGUUUUGGUCCCUUCCCUUCCCUUUGUAUUUUGGUAUUUCCUUUGUUGUCAUUGUUUCAUGUAAUGCCUUUUUUACAGUGCAUUAAUAUACCCAUUUUGUUUUGUCUCCUUGAGUAUUUUGCGUUCCUAUUUGCCAGUGACUUUUGGUUUAUUCCAACACAUUUACACUUAGCAGACACUUUCAUCCAAAGUGACAUACAAAGACAAGUUCACUUUUUUGUUAUGAAGUUCAGGCUGUUUCCGGAUUAGUUUUUUUUUUUUCCCUGCUUUUCAUGUUUGGGUUCUUUAUGUCACUAUCACAAUUUCAAUACUCUAUAUUUGUGUUCUUUGCCAUAUCAUGCCUCAUGAGUUGUCUUUUAAAACAGUGAUUGAGUAUGAGACGAAGUUUAAAAGUGGAAAAAAUAAUGAAGAACAAAGUCAAACUCUGCCAUUUAAUGGACACAGAAGAACUCAGCACAAGUCAGUCAUAUGCUUGCUUGUAUGUCUAGUUUCUUGUCUUCAUUCUUCAACUUUAGUCUUAAAAAAAGCAAAAAAUGAAUGAAUAAAAUAAUUAAUUAAAAAAAUUGUAUAAAAUGUUUCAUAGAUGUUAUGUAUAAAAAGUCACUUUUCUCUACAUAAUCAUCAUCUGUUGUUACCUUCCCAGCUUCACGACUCUUGGCUCUCAGCUUGUUGACCUGGGACUCGGCGAUGUCAGCACGCUCAUGAGACUCCUCCAGCUCAUGCUGCACCUUCCUGUACCUGGACAGGUGAGUGUUGGCCUGCUCCUCCUGUUACGAUGACACAAGAUAUCCAACCCCUUUCAGAGGAUUGCACUCAUGGCACUGAGUGUAUUGAAUAGAAAAUAUCAAAGCUUCAUACUUGAAACAUUUGACAUUAGACUUACAGCUUCUUCAGCUUGGCGUUUGUAGGCCUUCACUUUGAGCUGCAGCUUGUCUACCAGAUCCUGCAGUCGAGUCACAUUCUUCUUGUCUUCCUCAGUCUUUGGGUGUAAAAAUUGUUCAUGAUCUUGGUUAAACUAUGUAUAUCAUCAUGAAAGGUGUUAAAUAUCUAAUUUGUGUGUAGUUUUACCUGGUAGGUGAGCUCCUUCACUCUCCUUUCAUAUUUGCGCACUCCUUUCACAGCGUCUGCACCACGUCUCUGUUCAGCUUCAACUUCAGCCUCCAACUCAUGCACCUUCAGUAGAGAGUUACUGUUGUCAACUGUGAAAUCUCUGCCAUGGCCAGUUCAUCUAAGGAUUACUCACACCAGGCGAUCUGAACCAUGCCCGAGCCCCCCCAAAGUCUGGUUCUUUUGACUGGUGUGAUUCCUCUGUACCAUAUCUGAGCACGGUACACUGAACCAUGUCCUAACCCGCUUGAAAAGGGGAGGCAGAGCAUGGUUCAGUUGGGCUCUGGCGCGAUACACAUGUAGUGUGAUCGCUAACUGCACCUGAGCACAGGACAGCUACUAACUGUGUGCACUAGCACAAGUAGCAGUUUUUAGUUAAUUUGAGUAUUGAGUAAUAUAGAUUUAUAACAGGUCUGGUUUUUACCUUAUUGAUAAACAUUAUUUAUACUUUGUGAGUAUAGCUGCAACUUCCUCCAUCAAUGUCAUCUGACUCCAUAAUCAUUUUCUGAUACGUGCAGCAGAAUUAAAUGAAAAUCACUACACUUCAUAAGUGAUAAAGGUAUUAGAUAGUCUAACAGCGAAAGUAAUUUUCUUCAAAACAAAAGUUGAAUUGUAAUGACUAAAGCCUGCUGCAGCCCAAAAUGUUAAGAGCAAUGUAAGUGCAGGCCAGCCGGGGAGUGGGGAGGGGAUAUAAUGGCACUCUGGCUCGUUACAAGGCAACCGCUCCUAGUAUGAAUACACCUUAAGUCUGUAUUUAGUCUGUAAUUUACCCUGGACUCCAGUUUCUGGAGCUGUUUCUUUCCACCCUUCAUGGCCAGACUCUCAGCCUCAUCCAGACGGUGCUGCAGGUCUUUGACAGUCACCUCCAUGUUCUUCUUCAUCCUCUCCAGGUGAGCACUGGUGUCCUGCUCCUUCUUCAGCUCCUCAGCCAUCAUGGCAGCCUGAAAUAUAGGCCAGUGAAAACGAGCUAACCAAUAUAGAUAGAAUUAGCUUCCAUGAAUGUUCUCUUUGCUACCACAUGCAGCUAAACAAAGUCAAAUAACUGUUUAAAUUAGCAUAGAGUAACAUAUUGCAAACACUCACAUCAGUGAUGGCCUUCUUGGCCUUCUCCUCUGCAUUUCUGGCCUCCUGGACUGCAUCAUCCACCUCACCUUGAACCUGGAGCAGAUCAGUCUCAAGCUUCUUCUUGGUGUUAAUAAGACUCGUAUUCUGCAGGAUUUAAGCAGGUAGUUUAGUGUAUAUUUAACUAAUAAUUUAUCAUGUAAUCUGAAUUUUCUCUUAGUAUUUAAUAAUCUUUUUGUACUUGUGAGUGUAGCAGUCCCACACGUUCGCUGGCAUCCACCAGCUCCUGCUCCGCCACUUUGCGUCCUCUCUCUGUUUGCUCCAGGCCAGCUCUCAGCUCCUCAAUCUCUGCUUGCAUUAGGCUAUUCCUGCGCUCCACCAUGGCCACCUGCUCCUUCAUGUCCUCCUGUCCUCUGACAGCUUCAUCAAGGUGCAGUUGGGCAUCCUGUGGCAAUGUUCUUUCUUUGUUAGUUGCAUGCCAUGCUUCAGUUAAUUCAUGUGUCAUAUUCAUAUGAUCAAACACUUAAACUCCUCAUUCUACAGAGAGAUACCUUGAGUUGUCCUUGGACGUUCCUGAGCUGUUUCUGGGCCUCAGCAGCCUGGCGGUUGGCAUGACUCAACUGCACCUCCAUCUCAUUCAGAUCUCCCUCCAUCUUCUUUUUGACUCUCAGGGCAUCAUUUCUGCUCCUGACCUCAGAAUCCAGAGUGCUCUGCAUGGAAUCCAACACUCUUUGACUGUUCCUCUUGAUCUGUUCCAUCUCCUCAUCCUUCUCAGCCAGCUUCCUGUCAAUCUCGCUCUUCACCUGGUUCAGCUCCAGCUGCACACGAAGAAUCUUGGACUCUUCAUGCUCCAGGGUGCCCUGCAAGAAAAAAAGGAAAUAAUUUACUUACUUUUUAAACUUGUAAAAUUGUACUAUAUGGCUCCAGAGUUAUGGCAGGUAUAUUUGUGAUUGUUUAAGAAGGAAAUAAUUACAUUAAUUUAAGGUUUUGAACCACUACAUAUACAAUGUUUUAAUAUUAUUCAAAGCACUAGUGUGAUGUUAGUAUUGUAGCAAAAGGAAUGGCACCUCAGCUUCUUCUAGUGCAGUCUGGAUCUCUGCUUUCUCGGACUCCACUGUCUUCUUGGCUUUCUCUAUCUCAUGAAUGCUCUUUCCAAUCUCUCCAAGCUGCUCAGAGAGGUCAGAAAUCUCCUCUGAAAGUAUUUAAAAAUCAAUUGUACAUCAUUUUCUGUUUUUUAAGGCAUCUCUGUUUUUUAAAUUCCUUGCUGUAAAAAUAAAAGUGCCAUUUACGUUGCAGAUUCUUGUUCUCCCUCUUCAGGGUCUCAAGGUGGUCAAGAGCUUCUUCAUAGGAGUUCUUCAUUUUGAAAAGCUCGGUGCUGAGAGAACGAGCUUCUUUCUGAGCAGCUUCUAGUUCAGCCUGGCUUUCCUCAUACUUCUGUUUCCAGUCUGCUAGGACCUGGAGAAAAGUUCCUCUGCUUCUUGUCAAGGUUGGCAGCCAAUGCAUUUGCCCUCUCCCCAUCAAUCAUGAGGUCCUCUACUUCACUCUGCAGCCUCUGUUUGGUCUUUUCCAGAGAGGCACACUUGGAGUUCACUGCCUCAAUGGAUUCUUCAGCAUCCUGCAGACGCUGUGCCAGCUUUUUCCUGAAGAAAGUGGUAUUAAAUGAUGAAAUCUUACUAAUAUUUGUGAAACUAAAUGUAGGGUACUCAAGACUUUUUCCUUUGCUGUAUUUACUUGGAUUCCUCAAGCUCUUCAGUGCGUUGGAUGGCAUCGGUCUCAUAUUUGGCUCUCCACUGGGCCACCUCACUGUUGGCCUUAGACAUUCCACGCUGGAGUUCCGCUUUGGCCUCCUGCUCCUCCUCAUACUGCUCUCUGAGCAAGUCACAGUCAUGGCGGGCAGACUGAACUGCAUGGGCCAGAGCAUUCUUGGCCUAUAGGGUGGCACAUUUUGGGAUUUUAAACACUCUACUAUCUACACUACGGCUUGGAUUUACAAAAAAAAAAAAAAAAAAAAUUAAAAUAAUUUAAUUAUCAAAACAAAGUAAUAUUUGCAACUCUACCUUGACUUCUUCCUCAACAUGUCUUUUAAGAUCUUCAAUUUGCUGAGUAAAAGCCUGUUUUCCUCUAGUUAACUGUGAAACAAGUGCUUCUUUCUCUUCCAGCUGACGGCUAAAUUCACCUUAGAAACAGGUUACAGAUAUUAGCAUGAAAUAUAAUAACAGAAUCUUUUAACUCAAUUUUGUUUUAAGAUUUUUUACAUGUGUAGCUUACUCUCUU
Cyprinus carpio carpio is the source of this 5474-nucleotide long non-coding RNA. The record is from Ensembl. NCBI's taxonomy places the organism in Eukaryota, Metazoa, Chordata, Actinopteri, Cypriniformes, Cyprinidae.